UACGGGGGGGGCAAGCGUUGUUCGGAAUUACUGGGCGUAAAGGGCUCGUAGGCGGCCAACUAAGUCGGAUGUGAAAUCCCCAGGCUCAACCUGGGAACUGCAUCCGAUACUGGAUGGCUUGAAUUCGGGAGAGGGAUGCAGAAUUCCAGGUGUAGCGGUGAAAUGCGUAGAUAUCUGGAGGAAUACCGGUGGCGAAGGCGGCAUCCUGGACCGGCAUUGACGCUGAAGCGCGAAAGCUAGGGGAGCAAACGGG
RNAcentral lists this ribosomal RNA (253 nucleotides) under uncultured bacterium. Its description in RNAcentral is "partial 16S ribosomal RNA". It matches the Rfam family "Bacterial small subunit ribosomal RNA", at positions 524 to 776 of the family's 1533-position model. The record is from RNAcentral.